GAACGUGGACAAAGUGCGCUGCUGAUUGGGCUCAAAUCACCCUUGUAAUUGUCUUUUCUCUAAUAGUUAGAGGAAAUGGACAUUGGCGCCAAACGGAAACGGAUACCCCAAGAGUGUGUGUAGCCGGAAAUCGGCAUUGGCGCCAAGCGGAAACGGAAACGCAAAGUGAGAAUGGAGCCGGAAAAUGCUGCAUUCGAGUCAUUUAUGAGGAAACUACCGUAAAGAUUUUAAAGUACAGUGCUUUGAUUUACUUUCACGGAAAAAUUGUUCCUCGUUCUGAAUCAAUGCUUUUGUUCGCUGAUUUAAACUCGAGUGAUAUGACUGGGGAUCCCCAUUACUUCUUUGGACUGGAAAUUUCAAAUAUGGAGAUGAUUGGGCAGAUCAAAAAGAGAGAAAAUAGGAAGAAAGGAAUGAAGAAGAAAUGUAUCCGGCUGGGACUCUUCUGGAGAUGAUUCUUGACCUACAACUUGGAAAUUCCCGGGUUUCGCUGCAAAUAUUGGUUGAUCUGAUUUUGUCAUACUGAACUUGCGCAACCGGGUGAGGUGAAAACCAAUUUGAAAGGUUAGUGCUCUUAGAACGAACGAAUGGGUAGAACAUACCCAUGAAAUUAUUGGGGUUUACACCUUUCAAGGAUUUUCGUUCAUGAGAAUGAGAACGUUAAAAACUCGAUGGUAUAUACAUAAGUGCGACUCGGAGGACGAAACAUACAGCAAUACUGCCGUGCCAGGGAAAAACGCCGUAUGAACAUUCGAGAGUUGCCAAAUUUCCCUUGGUAAAGCAUGUAUUUUGACGACAUUCGUGCAUAUUUUCCUUGAAAUUUUCGGGUAUUUUAGAGCAAAUUUCGUAAAAAAUUGUCUGAACAUUUCCGAAAAAAAUAUUCAAAAUUUUACCAGUAAAUUCGGUUUUUAGUGAGGGAAAUCUGGUAGCGUCUAAAGGUUCAUACGGCGUUUUUCCUUAGCAUGGCAGAAUAGCGCUGCACCCGCGGUCUAACCAAAAAUUGAGAAAACACAACAAGGUAAACAAGUACUGCGUGUGUGUUUUCAUUUCGUCAUGAAUCGGCAUCUUUUGUCGGGCUAAAAAAGAGAUGUGCAGUGCCCUAUACAGUUGGGGUGGGGCGGGGGGAACAGACACCGAACACGGAUGUACAGGAAUAUAAAUAUAUGAAUAUCACAAAUAACUCAAUAAAAAAGAACGCGUAACAAAACACAAUGAAAUACAAAAUCUAACACCGCAUCUAUGCUGGUCUGAGUUUUACAAAACUUUGGCCUCUCACAGAGGGAUCUACCGGAUCAUCUCGCGAAAUCUAUU
Molecule: long non-coding RNA, 1308 nt
Filed under: Bemisia tabaci
Lineage: Eukaryota; Metazoa; Arthropoda; Insecta; Hemiptera; Aleyrodidae
Description: lncRNA ENSSSA3NGG004623
Source: RNAcentral